GAUGAACGCUGGCGGCGUGCCUAAUACAUGCAAGUCGAGCGAACAGACGAGGAGCUUGCUCCUUCGACGUUAGCGGCGGACGGGUGAGUAACACGUAGGUAACCAACAUAUAAGACUGGGAUAACUUCGGGAAACCGGAGCUAAUACCGGAUAAUAUUUCGAACCGCAUGGUUCGAUAGUGAAAGAUGGCUUUGCUAUCACUUAUAGAUGGACCUGCGCCGUAUUAGCUAGUUGGUAAGGUAACGGCUUACCAAGGCAACGAUACGUAGCCGACCUGAGAGGGUGAUCGGCCACACGGGAACUGAGACACGGUCCAGACUCCUACGGGAGGCAGCAGUAGGGAAUCUUCCGCAAUGGGCGAAAGCCUGACGGAGCAACGCCGCGUGAGUGAUGAAGGUCUUCGGAUCGUAAAACUCUGUUAUUAGGGAAGAACAAACGUGUAAGUAACUGUGCACGUCUUGACGGUACCUAAUCAGAAAGCCACGGCUAACUACGUG
This 497-nucleotide ribosomal RNA is filed under the name uncultured bacterium. RNAcentral describes it as "partial 16S ribosomal RNA". It matches the Rfam family "Bacterial small subunit ribosomal RNA", at positions 28 to 507 of the family's 1533-position model. The record is from RNAcentral.